This 797-nucleotide ribosomal RNA is filed under the name uncultured bacterium. RNAcentral describes it as "bacterial SSU rRNA". It matches the Rfam family "Bacterial small subunit ribosomal RNA", at positions 8 to 798 of the family's 1533-position model. The record is from RNAcentral.
AGAGUUUGAUCAUGGCUCAGAUUGAACGCUGGCGGCAUGCCUUACACAUGCAAGUCGAACGGCAGCACGGGAGCUUGCUCCUGGUGGCGAGUGGCGAACGGGUGAGUAAUGCAUCGGAACGUGCCCUGAAGUGGGGGAUAACGCAGCGAAAGUUGCGCUAAUACCGCAUAUUCUGUGAGCAGGAAAGCAGGGGAUCGCAAGACCUUGCGCUUUAGGAGCGGCCGAUGUCGGAUUAGCUAGUUGGUGGGGUAAAGGCUCACCAAGGCGACGAUCCGUAGCGGGUCUGAGAGGAUGAUCCGCCACACUGGGACUGAGACACGGCCCAGACUCCUACGGGAGGCAGCAGUGGGGAAUUUUGGACAAUGGGCGAAAGCCUGAUCCAGCCAUGCCGCGUGAGUGAAGAAGGCCUUCGGGUUGUAAAGCUCUUUCGGCGGGGAAGAAAUCGCAUUCUCUAAUACAGGAUGUGGAUGACGGUACCCGAAUAAGAAGCACCGGCUAACUACGUGCCAGCAGCCGCGGUAAUACGUAGGGUGCGAGCGUUAAUCGGAAUUACUGGGCGUAAAGCGUGCGCAGGCGGUUUCGUAAGACAGACGUGAAAUCCCCGGGCUCAACCUGGGAACUGCGUUUGUGACUGCGAGGCUAGAGUACGGCAGAGGGGGAUGGAAUUCCGCGUGUAGCAGUGAAAUGCAUAGAUAUGCGGAGGAACACCAAUGGCGAAGGCAAUCCCCUGGGCCUGUACUGACGCUCAUGCACGAAAGCGUGGGGAGCAAACAGGAUUAGAUACCCCGGUAGUCCAA